UGAACGCCUUCCUAGCGGCAGCUGACCACCUGGGAGAUGUUUGGUCACGUCUCCAGCCUGAUGUUUGCACAUGAGGGCUUGCCCUGCUGUCCUGGUUCUCUGUAUGUUGAAGAGAGUCCCUCUGAGAACCAGGUGAGGCGGAAAGAAAACACAGCACAACAAAGCACGAUGUACGCUCCAGGGAAUCUGACGCCACCUUCUGGCCUCCACAGGCACUGCAUGCAUGUGGUACACAUGCACAACAAAAUAAAGAGUUCAAUUUGUGCUGGCUAAAUACUCAGGGUUGUGGGGCCACCCACUGGAGCAUGGUCAGCCAACAGGAGCAUAUCCUUAAAGAAAACUCUCC
This is a long non-coding RNA of Microtus oregoni (creeping vole), 346 nucleotides long. RefSeq lists it as uncharacterized. Lineage: Eukaryota; Metazoa; Chordata; Mammalia; Rodentia; Cricetidae. The transcript has 3 exons. The record is from RefSeq and is a predicted model, not a curated record.